ACUGAUGAUGGCGACUACAAUAUCAAGCUGCGUAACCUCAUCAAGUUCCUGGAAGACGGUGACAAGACCAAGAUCACCUUGCGCUUCCGUGGCCGCGAGAUGGCGCACCAGGAUAUUGGUUUCCGUAUGCUGGAACGCCUGAAAGCCGAUCUGGAGCCGCAUGGCCAGGUCGAGCAGUUCCCGAAAAUGGAAGGCCGCCAGAUGAUUAUGGUGCUGGCACCGAAGAAAAAGAAGUAAAUUGCUAUAGUGGCAAUCAAAAAAAGGGCGCAACAGUGCCCUUUUUUGUUUUUCUGGGCUAUAAUUGUCGGCUGUAGUAAAUGUA
RNAcentral lists this unclassified non-coding RNA (322 nucleotides) under Duganella sacchari. RNAcentral's name for it is "Long range pseudoknot". The record is from RNAcentral. Lineage: Bacteria; Pseudomonadati; Pseudomonadota; Betaproteobacteria; Burkholderiales; Oxalobacteraceae.